UACGUAGGGACCGAGCGUUGUCCGUAAUCAUUGGGCGUAAAGAGCGUGUAGGCGGCUAUUUAAGUCCUGCGUGAAAUCCUGCGGCUCAACCGCAGACGGUCGUGGGAAACUGGAUGGCUAGAGUGCGGGAGAGGAGAGUGGAAUUCCCGGUGUAGCGGUGAAAUGCGCAGAUAUCAGGAAGAACACCAAUGGCGAAAGCAGCUCUCUGGGACGGUACUGACGCUGAGACGCGAAAGCGUGGGGAGCGAACAGG
This 253-nucleotide ribosomal RNA is filed under the name uncultured bacterium. RNAcentral's name for it is "partial 16S ribosomal RNA". It matches the Rfam family "Bacterial small subunit ribosomal RNA", at positions 524 to 776 of the family's 1533-position model. The record is from RNAcentral.